Molecule: long non-coding RNA, 502 nt
Organism: Mangifera indica (mango)
Lineage: Eukaryota; Viridiplantae; Streptophyta; Magnoliopsida; Sapindales; Anacardiaceae
Exons: 2
Source: RefSeq, a predicted model, not a curated record
ACACGUCGAGAAGUAUGUGAGAAGAGGUCGAUUGGACUGGCCAGAGAAUGCAACAUCUCGGGAAAGCAUUAAAGCUGUCCUAAAGCUACCUCGUCUCCAGAACAUAGUAAUGCAGCUUGUAGAUCACUCAGCUGGGUACCUAAUAGAUCUGUUGCAAGGGCUUCUUAGGUAUGAUCCUUCCAAUAGACUUAACUGCUCGUGAAGCCCUCAGGCACCCUUUCCUAACAGGAGAUUAUUACCGGAGAUUUUAAGUAGAUUUUGUGUUUUGUCAUUUUCACAUCAUUGUGAGGCCACUAAAUGAGUUCCAAAGUGAGAUGUGAGUGUGGAUUUCUGAAGAAUCUGAACAAAUGUCCAUUCUUAGUGAAGCCUUAUUGUAGGGUGGCCAGGUACCUUGUUCUCAUGAAAUGUUAUAUUGUUCAGCUUUUGUAGACAAUAUAAGUUGUCAGGAGAUCCCCAUUGUUGUAUCAAAGACUUUGCAGUUGUUUAUGCAGGGCCUUUUUCC